Long non-coding RNA from Ictalurus punctatus (channel catfish), 2141 nucleotides. RefSeq lists it as uncharacterized. The record is from RefSeq and is a predicted model, not a curated record. NCBI's taxonomy places the organism in Eukaryota, Metazoa, Chordata, Actinopteri, Siluriformes, Ictaluridae. The transcript has 4 exons.
UUGUGUCAUUGCUAGGUCUGCCCCUCGUGCCACCCCAAUCGUGAAAGCAGUGCAACGUGCUAGUGAUAAAGUCACUGAAAAAGAGAUGAGGGAAUUGAAAAUAAAAUUCAAUGCAGCCUACAUGACUCUGAGCCUGAAUAAGCAGGAAACAACUAAUUGUACAUAGUAGAAUAAGAAAGUGAAAAAAAAAUAAUCAAAUGACUGGACAUUUAAGUAUUUACGGUAAUAUGAUUCAAUAUGAUGUACUGAACAUUGCACAUAUUGUGUAUGUAAAGAAUACAUUGUGUAAACUAUGGGAGGCAGAGUAAACAAAGGCAGACAGUACAGAGGGGAAAGAAAAGGCAGUGUGAGGUAGCCAUUUAACAAUGAUAUCAUCAUAUGUCAUAUGACAUCACUAUAUUUUGGAUCCUGAAAAUUUGAUUUGGCGCCAAAAUAUUUUGGGUUUAGGAGCCAACGGUUCCUAGAUUAUUUUUUUUUGCCUGGAGCCCUGUUCCAAAUUGUUCUUUGGCUAUGCCCCAUGUUUGUGCAAUGGCUCAGACCGGUUUUUCCUCUUUUCGCAGCUUCAAAAUGGCUUGCUUUUCUCCCAUAGACAGCUCUCUGGUCUCCAUGUCGGUUUAUUCUUUUUAACAACAAAUGCUGUCUCCACAGGUGAAACCCAGGGCUCAAACCAAGAGAAGACAUUCAGAGCUAUUCAUUCUUUAAAGUCCAUUUAACAAGUUUCCUUCUGCUUCUGAGUUCAAAGAGCUUUUUCUCAUCCCCAUCCUGGAGUGCCCCUACAGCUGCCUGUUUGGUACAUUCCUCUACAGCAGUGAGCAGGAGAGAAUGGAAAAGGAAGUACAGGGUAAAACGGUCACUGCGGUCCUACAUUAAGUCAGCCGGAGGACUUCACUAACCCGUUCUAUGUGGACUGUAAAAACCAGGUGCUGUAUCCACUGGCCAGUCUCACACAUCUGGAGUUCUGGGUGGGUUAUUAUGUGCGCUGGAACCCACGCAUGAGACCACAGAUGCCGCUCCAUCAGAAUUUGAGAGAGUUAUUGUUUUUGCGUGAAGAACGUGGAGGAGCUCCAGAGAGAGGCCACGUCAUCCUGCUCCAUCUCCUCAUCCUCAGAGCAUACUUCUCCCUCCUCACAUAGUGGUACACCACUUCACACUGCCGUCUAAAUACAAACGCACGCACACACACACACACACACACACAAAUUUAAGAGCACACACUGUCUUUACUCAAUGAAUACACUCUCAGGCACAAGUAGGGAGUGGAUGAGUAUGAAGAGGACACACACACACACACACACACACACACACACAUUCCUGUUUGCAAUUUUUUUUAACUAUAGAGAAGUAACCUAGUGUCACAUUUUAUAAAUCCUUAAUACUUAAAAAUGGAUCUUGGAAUGAUAGUCAGCAUGUCUGCAGCAUGAAUUCAUAAUAUUUACGAUCUAGUAUUUGACCUGUAAAUAUGUAAAAAAGAGAAGUAUUCAUAUAUUUGUCCUUACACGUCAUGUUCAUCUUUCCCUGUGGCCUCAUUUGCUCCUCUGUGCCAACUCCCUUUCAUCUUUUAACAUUUCAAUUGUUGGCUCAAAUUCAGCCUAUUACCCAAAAACAUUUAAAACUCAACUUAGAAGCCCAUACUCACAUCUACCUCUGAGCCCAGUUGGAGAUAGAAAAAAAUACACCAGCCGUGAGUGAGAAGAAGCAAGGGUCCAGCUUUAUUGUUCCGUUCCACCACACGAGAUCCACACCGAUGAGAAUUCUCAGAAGUGAUCCCAAUACCCUGAGCUUAAGCUCCAGUAUUUAUACUGUAUUUACACACUAAAUAACCCAUAGGUUUCAAAAAGACUAUGAUCUCACUACCAAUAGGGUUAAAAAAGAGCUCAUUUACCUUACUCUUAUGUUCCAGAAAAGGGCGAUUUCACUUACACAUAGAAUUGAAACCAGGGGUUUUAAUUUACCCAUGAAAUCAGAACCCAGGCAUUUCCAAUAACCCAGAAAAUAAAAACCCAGAGUUUCUAGUUACUCAGAGGAUCAGAAACCAGAAUUAUUCAGUUACCUAGAGCGUCAGAAACCAGGAUUCUCAUUUACCUUAGGUGGUCAGAAACCAGGAUUCUCAAUUACCUAGGGAAAUAAAAUGACGUAGACAA